This is a non-coding RNA of Ornithorhynchus anatinus (platypus), 72 nucleotides long. Lineage: Eukaryota; Metazoa; Chordata; Mammalia; Monotremata; Ornithorhynchidae. The record is from Rfam.
AGCAGCGUGGCUCAGUGGAAAGAGCAUGGGCUUGGGAGUCAGAGGUCAUGGGUUCAAAUCCCAGCUCAGCCA